CGCACCGACAGCAAUGGUGUCUCUGUAAUACGGUGCGGAUCCACCACCGAGGGACAUAGAGAGGACAUCCACACCGUCCUGAAUGGCCCGAUCUAUGCCCGCAAGAAUGUCGGAUCCGAAACAUCCAGUUUUCCAGCAAACUUUGUAGGUGGCCACACGCGCGUGCGUGGCCAUUCCACGAGCGACGCCGCUGGCGUAACCGAGGAGACUGGCAUUGGCGACGGGUACGCCGGCCGCCGUACUGGCCGUGUGGGUACCGUGUCCGUCAUAAUCACGAGGCGACUCGGGUUCGUUUGGCUUCUUAGAGAAACUUCCACCAGCCAUGUGGUAGCCUUUGGAGAAAAAACGAGCGCCAAUGAGCUUUUUGUUACAAAGUUUGGGACUAAAAUCAGGACCGGACUCGCACUGGCCGCGCCACUUGGUUGGAACCUCAGGCAUGGCGGAGUCAUCGAAACUUUUAGACUCGGGCCAAACCCCAGUGUCGAGAACACCAAUGAUAACAUCAAGGGAGGCCUUGUCGAAGUCGAGCUUGCUGUAGCCUGCCAACAAGCCGAAGUCAGAGCUGAUGCCGAGGAACUGAGGGGACCGAGUAGUGUGGAGGGUGUAGAGAGUGUCCUCGUAGACUCCGAGAACGGCGUCGGAUUGGCGGAGAGCCUGGGCUUGAUCUGGGUCAAGUGAGGCAGCGAAGCCGUUGUAUGCGGUGUUGUAGGUGUACAGAAGAGAAUCUGUGGAAGAUGAGAGAGACUGAACGCUCGAUGCGUACCAAUCGUUGUGGGUGGAGAAAGUUGAUGGCUUUGCUUGGUGUUUCAUGUGAACUAUGUAGGUUUGCUUGGCCGCCGUCACUGAGAGUGACAAGCAUGGUAGGAGAAGAAGAAGUCCGGUGAAGAAGAAGAAAGACGCCAUGGCAAUGCUGAGAAGAUGAAGCUUUUUUUUAUUUCAAAGUUUGAAAGUACAAACUAUUACAGUCGCUAUAGGUCUGCGACUGUCAGAGAGGAUAAAAGAGACGCUGCACUUAUGUCGGGUUUUUAAACACAUACAGAAUCACACAAGCCUCCUUAUUGCCUUUAUUUACCAUUAUGCCAUCAUUGGUCUCCCCUGUCGAGUCAUGCAAUGCUUUUACAUUUUGUUAUAAUUAUUUACUUGUAUUAUAUAAGACAAAUUACGAUCGUGUGGAUAAGAGAAGAGAGACUCUGUUGCUUUAAGGCUGGCAAAAGAAAAAUUAAUGAUGAUAAUCAAUGAUGGCAGUGUGAAUCGUGAAUAUUCGUGAUGGUUGUUUGUCGUGUUCCGAGGAUGUAAUUUUGGGUGGAUUUUCGGGCGUUAAUACUAGAGAUUAACCCAUGCCGAGUCCGACCCGACCCACCAAAAUAAAACCAAAAGUUUAAAAUUUAAAUUUAUAUUAAAUAAUAAUAAACUAAUAAUAAUAACUUAAUAUAAUAUUAACUGCAGAUAACUACUUUCCCACGCACAAGUUCCGGUUGGAGUGAACCGGGCAAACACAGAUUGGAAGAAGAAGAACCGUUUGAACCUUUAUUGUAAACCAAACUGACCGGUUUAUUUCCCAUCCCAUUUCCGCUAUAGAGUGAGACACCAGUGGCUUUCUUUUUGUUUCCAAGAAACACGUAAGCCGGGAAGUCGCGAUCUAAAGUGCCGGCACCAACGGUCAGGAUCCACGGAGCCACGUUGGCAAGCGAGGCCUUAGUUGGCCCACUGUUUCCGGCAGAGCAAGAGACCACAAUGCCCUUCUCCAUUGCCGCAAACGCACCGACAGCAAUGGUGUCUCUGUAAUACGGUGCGGAUCCACCACCGAGGGACAUAGAGAGGACAUCCACACCGUCCUGAAUGGCCCGAUCUAUGCCCGCAAGAAUGUCGGAUCCGAAACAUCCAGUUUUCCAGCAAACUUUGUAGGUGGCCACACGCGCGUGCGUGGCCAUUCCACGAGCGACGCCGCUGGCGUAACCGAGGAGACUGGCAUUGGCGACGGGUACGCCGGCCGCCGUACUGGCCGUGUGGGUACCGUGUCCGUCAUAAUCACGAGGCGACUCGGGUUCGUUUGGCUUCUUAGAGAAACUUCCACCAGCCAUGUGGUAGCCUUUGGAGAAAAAACGAGCG
This 2109-nucleotide long non-coding RNA is filed under the name Citrus sinensis (sweet orange). RNAcentral's name for it is "long non-coding RNA (CSIN_LNC001617)". Lineage: Eukaryota; Viridiplantae; Streptophyta; Magnoliopsida; Sapindales; Rutaceae. The record is from RNAcentral.